CUUCAUAUAUUUCUUGUUCUUGGAGAUGGCUAUUGAAAGUCUGUGAUCUCUUCAUCGAGCACAUGGAUUAAUUGAAGUCUUGGAUAGACUAGACAAACUUUUAUCUAUUUUUCUUUUACAGUUUGGUAUUUUUGCUUUUUUACAAUUAAAAUCUGAUUGCUAUGGCUAAAGACAUGUGUUCUUGGGCUUCCGCUUUUAAUUUACUAAAACUUCAUGAUGAUAUUGCUAACACACAACCCGCACAUACAAAGACAGAGACACAGAAAGAUCUUACAUUAUAGAUAAGUGAACUGCGUGACAACAGAAGCCCUAAAGAUAGAAUUUACAAGGUUCUUUAGCAGAUCAAGAAGCUUCACUUAUGAGUAAGAAACUGGGAGAUUUAAAGCCAAGUGACUCAGAUUACUCAUACAUGAUAAUAAGUAUGUUAAGUAACUGCAUGAAACCCAAUAAGCUAAACGAAAUCGUUUCUUUGUACCAUCAUAUUAAGUUGCCUCAACGCUAGUGAUAAAACGCUCUUUCACCGCACCACCUUAAUUAUAUCGAGGCACCUCAUUGCUAGCAGUAAUAGGCUCCUCCACCAUGGUACCAUAGUAUUGAACUACCUCGUUGCUAGUGAUCACUGGCAUCCUCACCGUGGUAAUUUGAGGUCCCUGAUAUAUCAGUGUUUGCUGAUGUUGGUAUUGAUGAUGAUGAUGAGGACAAUAGCGAUGUACCUGAGUUGAGGGGAGUCUUCCAGAUCUUCGGGGCCAGCCAUGGCUAUCCUCAAUCAUAUUAAAGCCUUCCAUUCCAGUCCUUGUGAGACGAAGUAAGAAUAACACAAAGAACAAUCCACACUUUAUGGUUUGCCUUGGUAACAAAUAGGUUAUACAUGCAUUCUUAUAUAAAUGCCGAAAGCAUGUAGCUUGUAAAUUUCUUUCUACUUUUUUGGCACAAACACGCUGUUGUUAGUUUGAGAUUUGACGCAGAACUAGAAUAAAUUCUUUACAUGAAAUAUCAAGAGAAACUUCUGUAUUUUCAAGUGCAAUUAAUUAAAAACCAAAAAAAAAAAAAAACAAAACUAUUAGAAAAUAACCAGUGAAGAUGUG
This 1085-nucleotide long non-coding RNA is filed under the name Populus trichocarpa (black cottonwood). RNAcentral describes it as "long non-coding RNA (PTRI_LNC002407)". Lineage: Eukaryota; Viridiplantae; Streptophyta; Magnoliopsida; Malpighiales; Salicaceae. The record is from RNAcentral.